This 497-nucleotide ribosomal RNA is filed under the name uncultured bacterium. Its description in RNAcentral is "partial 16S ribosomal RNA". It matches the Rfam family "Bacterial small subunit ribosomal RNA", at positions 28 to 507 of the family's 1533-position model. The record is from RNAcentral.
GAUGAACGCUGGCGGCGUACCUAAUACAUGCAAGUCGAGCGAACGGACGAGAAGCUUGCUUCUCUGAUGUUAGCGGCGGACGGGUGAGUAAUACGUGGAUAACCUACCUAUAAGACUGGGAUAACUUCGGGAAACCGGAGCUAAUACCGGAUAAUAUUUUGAACCGCAUGGUUCAAAAGUGAAAGACGGUCUUGCUGUCACUUAUAGAUGGAUCCGCGCUGCAUUAGCUAGUUGGUAAGGUAACGGCUUACCAAGGCAACGAUGCAUAGCCGACCUGAGAGGGUGAUCUGCCACACUGGAACUAAGACACGGUCCAGACUCCUACGGGAGGCGACAGUAGGGAAUCUUCCGCAAUGGACGAAAGCCUAACGGAGCAACGCCGCGUGGGUGAUGAAGGUCUUCGGAUCGUAAAACUCUGUUAUUAGGGAAGAACAUAUGUGUAAGUAACUGUGCACAUCUUGACGGUACCUAAUCAGAAAGCCACGGCUAACUACGUG